AACGAACGCUGGCGGCAUGCCUAACACAUGCAAGUCGAACGAGACCUUCGGGUCUAGUGGCGCACGUGUGCGUAACGCGUGGGAACCUGCCCUUAGGUUCGGAAUAACUCCCCGAAAGGGGUUCUAAUACCGGAUAAUGUCUUCGGACCAAAGAUUUAUCGCCUUUGGAUGGGCCCGCGUUGGAUUAGCUAGUUGGUAGGGUAAAAGCCUACCAAGGCGACGAUCCAUAGCUGGUCUGAGAGGAUGAUCAGCCACACUGGGACUGAGACACGGCCCAGACUCCUACGGGAGGAAGAAGUGGGGAAUAUUGGAGAAUGGGCGAAAGCCUGAUCAAGCAAUGCCGCGUGAGUGAUGAAGGCCUCAGGGUUGUAAAGCUCUUUUACCUGGGAUGAUAAUGACAGUACCGGGAGAAUAAGCACCGGCUAACUCCGUG
Molecule: ribosomal RNA, 433 nt
Filed under: uncultured bacterium
Lineage: Bacteria
Description: partial 16S ribosomal RNA
Rfam family: Bacterial small subunit ribosomal RNA
Source: RNAcentral